AGCCCUGUGGUGAGUAUCACAUCAAAUUGCAAAUUUGAAGAAGUUCCUUUAGG
This 53-nucleotide transfer RNA is filed under the name Bavayia crassicollis. RNAcentral's name for it is "tRNA-Cys". Lineage: Eukaryota; Metazoa; Chordata; Lepidosauria; Squamata; Diplodactylidae. The record is from RNAcentral.